AUGACCGCUAGCGGGAUGCUUUACACAUGCAAGUCGGACGGCAGCGCGAGGUAAGCUUGCUUACCUUGGCGGCGAGUGGCGAACGGGUGAGUAAUGUAUCGGAACGUGCCCAGUAGCGGGGGAUAACCACUCGAAAGAGUGGCUAAUACCGCAUACGCCCUACGGGGGAAAGCGGGGGACCUUUCGGGGCCUCGCACUAUUGGAGCGGCCGAUAUCGGAUUAGCUAGUUGGUGGGGUAAAGGCCUACCAAGGCGUCGAUCCGUAGCUGGUUUGAGAGGACGACCAGCCACACUGGGACUGAGACACGGCCCAGACUCCUACGGGAGGCAGCAGUGGGGAAUUUUGGACAAUGGGGGCAACCCUGAUCCAGCCAUCCCGCGUGUGCGAUGAAGGCCUUCGGGUUGUAAAGCACUUUUGGCAGGGAAGAAAAGGCUCUGGCUAAUACCUGGAGCUGCUGACGGUACCUGCAGAAUAAGCACCGGCUAACUACGUGCCAGCAGCCGCGGUAAUACGUAGGGUGCAAGCGUUAAUCGGAAUUACUGGGCGUAAAGCGUGCGCAGGCGGUUCGGCAAGAAGGAUGUGAAAUCCCCAGGGCUUAACCUUGGAACUGCAUUUCUUAACUGCCCGGGCUAGAGUAUGUCAGAGGGGGGUAGAAUUUCCGCGUGUAGCAAUGAAAUGCGUAAGAAAUGCCGAAGGAAUCCCCAUGGCAAAGGCNCCCCCCUGGGGAUAAUAAUGGACCCCU
This 742-nucleotide ribosomal RNA is filed under the name uncultured bacterium. Its description in RNAcentral is "bacterial SSU rRNA". It matches the Rfam family "Bacterial small subunit ribosomal RNA", at positions 29 to 748 of the family's 1533-position model. The record is from RNAcentral.